UGUGAUGGGGAAGCUCCUUAUGGAGCGAAGUCUUUGAUUCCCCGCUGCCAAGAAAAGCUUCUAGCGAGAUAAAAGGUGCCUGUACCGCAAACCGACACAGGUAGGCGAGGAGAGAAUCCUAAGGUGUGCGAGAGAACUCUGGUUAAGGAACUCGGCAAAAUGACCCCGUAACUUCGGGAGAAGGGGUGCUUUCUUAACGGAAAGCCGCAGUGAAUAGGCCCAAGCGACUGUUUAGCAAAAACACAGCUCUCUGCGAAGCCGUAAGGCGAAGUAUAGGGGGUGACACCUGCCCGGUGCUGGAAGGUUAAGGAGAGGGGUUAGCGUAAGCGAAGCUCUGAACUGAAGCCCCAGUAAACGGCGGCCGUAACUAUAACGGUCCUAAGGUAGCGAAAUUCCUUGUCGGGUAAGUUCCGACCCGCACGAAAGGUGUAACGAUUUGGGCACUGUCUCAACCAGAGACUCGGUGAAAUUAUAGUACCUGUGAAGAUGCAGGUUACCCGCGACAGGACGGAAAGACCCCGUGGAGCUUUACUGUAGCCUGAUAUUGAAUUUUGGUACAGUUUGUACAGGAUAGGCGGGAGCCAUUGAAACCGGAGCGCUAGCUUCGGUGGAGGCGCUGGUGGGAUACCGCCCUGACUGUAUUGAAAUUCUAACCUACGGGUCUUAUCGACCCGGGAGACAGUGUCAGGUGGGCAGUUUGACUGGGGCGGUCGCCUCCUAAAGUGUAACGGAGGCGCCCAAAGGUUCCCUCAGAAUGGUUGGAAAUCAUUCGUAGAGUGCAAAGGCAUAAGGGAGCUUGACUGCGAGACCUACAAGUCGAGCAGGGACGAAAGUCGGGCUUAGUGAUCCGGUGGUUCCGCAUGGAAGGGCCAUCGCUCAACGGAUAAAAGCUACCCCGGGGAUAACAGGCUUAUCUCCCCCAAGAGUCCACAUCGACGGGGAGGUUUGGCACCUCGAUGUCGGCUCAUCGCAUCCUGGGGCUGUAGUCGGUCCCAAGGGUUGGGCUGUUCGCCCAUUAAAGCGGUACGCGAGCUGGGUUCAGAACGUCGUGAGACAGUUCGGUCCCUAUCCGUCGUGGGCGUAGGAAAUUUGAGAGGAGCUGUCCUUAGUACGAGAGGACCGGGAUGGACGCACCGCUGGUGUACCAGUUGUUCUGCCAAGGGCAUAGCUGGGUAGCUAUGUGCGGAAGGGAUAAGUGCUGAAAGCAUCUAAGCAUGAAGCCCCCCUCAAGAUGAGAUUUCCCAUAGCGUAAGCUAGUAAGAUCCCUGAAAGAUGAUCAGGUUGAUAGGUUCGAGGUGGAAGCAUGGUGACAUGUGGAGCUGACGAAUACUAAUAGAUCGAGGACUUAACCAU
This 1353-nucleotide ribosomal RNA is filed under the name Bacillus cereus VD166. RNAcentral describes it as "bacterial LSU rRNA". It matches the Rfam family "Bacterial large subunit ribosomal RNA", at positions 1561 to 2925 of the family's 2925-position model. Lineage: Bacteria; Bacillati; Bacillota; Bacilli; Caryophanales; Bacillaceae. The record is from RNAcentral.